Molecule: ribosomal RNA, 301 nt
Filed under: uncultured bacterium
Lineage: Bacteria
Description: partial 16S ribosomal RNA
Rfam family: Bacterial small subunit ribosomal RNA
Source: RNAcentral
CAGUAGCCGCGGUAAUACAGAGGGUGCGAGCGUUAAUCGGAUUUACUGGGCGUAAAGCGUGCGUAGGUGGUGGUUUAAGUCCGUUGUGAAAGCCCUGGGCUCAACCUGGGAAUUGCAGUGGAUACUGGGUCACUAGAGUGUGGUAGAGGAUAGUGGAAUUUCCGGUGUAGCAGUGAAAUGCGUAGAGAUCGGAAGGAACAUCUGUGGCGAAGGCGACUAUCUGGGCCAACACUGACACUGAGGCACGAAAGCGUGGGGAGCAAACAGGAUUAGAUACCCGCGUAGUCCCUGUCUCUUAUAC